AGAGUUUGAUCCUGGCUCAGGAUGAACGCUAGCGGCAGGCCUAAUACAUGCAAGUCGGACGGGAUCUAGAUCUAAGCUUGCUUAGAUUUAGUGAGAGUGGCGCACGGGUGCGUAACGCGUGAGCAACCUACCCAUAUCAGGGGGAUAGCCCGGAGAAAUCCGGAUUAACACCGCAUGACACAACGACUCGGCAUCGAGAUGUUGUUAAAUAUUUAUAGGAUAUGGAUGGGCUCGCGUGACAUUAGCUAGUUGGUAAGGUAACGGCUUACCAAGGCUACGAUGUCUAGGGGCUCUGAGAGGAGAAUCCCCCACACUGGUACUGAGACACGGACCAGACUCCUACGGGAGGCAGCAGUAAGGAAUAUUGGUCAAUGGAGGGAACUCUGAACCAGCCAUGCCGCGUGCAGGAUGACUGCCCUAUGGGUUGUAAACUGCUUUUGUCCAGGAAUAACCACCACUACGUGUAGUGGCUUGAAUGUACUGGAAGAAUAAGGAUCGGCUAACUCCGUGCCAGCAGCCGCGGUAAUACGGAGGAUCCGAGCGUUAUCCGGAUUUAUUGGGUUUAAAGGGUGCGUAGGCGGCUCAUUAAGUCAGGGGUGAAAGACGGCAGCUCAACUGUCGCAGUGCCUUUGAUACUGAUGAGCUUGAAUGUGGUUGAAGAUGGCGGAAUGAGACAAGUAGCGGUGAAAUGCAUGGAUAUGUCUCAGAACUCCGAUUGCGAAGGCAGCUGUCUAAGUCAUUAUUGACGCUGAUGCACGAAAGCGUGGGGAUCGAACAGGAUUAGAUACCCUGGUAGUCC
Molecule: ribosomal RNA, 799 nt
Filed under: uncultured bacterium
Lineage: Bacteria
Description: bacterial SSU rRNA
Rfam family: Bacterial small subunit ribosomal RNA
Source: RNAcentral